This 254-nucleotide ribosomal RNA is filed under the name uncultured bacterium. RNAcentral describes it as "partial 16S ribosomal RNA". It matches the Rfam family "Bacterial small subunit ribosomal RNA", at positions 524 to 777 of the family's 1533-position model. The record is from RNAcentral.
UACAGAGGUCUCAAGCGUUGUUCGGAAUCACUGGGCGUAAAGGGUGCGUAGGUGGCGUGGCAAGUCAGAUGUGAAAGCCCGGGGCUCAACCUCGGAAUUGUAUCCGAUACUGCCAUGCUGGAGUACUGAAGAGGUGACUAGAAUUCUCGGUGUAGCAGUGAAAUGCGUAGAUAUCGAGAGGAAUACCAAAGGCGAAGGCAGGUCACUGGGCAGUUACUGACACUGAGGCACGAAGGCCAGGGGAGCAAACCGGG